GACGAACGCUGGCGGCGUGCUUAACACAUGCAAGUCGAACGGUAAGGCCCUUCGGGGUACACGAGUGGCGAACGGGUGAGUAACACGUGGGUGAUCUGCCCUGCACUUCGGGAUAAGCCUGGGAAACUGGGUCUAAUACCGGAUAGGACCACUGCCUGCAUGGGUGGUGGUGGAAAGCUUUUGCGGUGUGGGAUGGGCCCGCGGCCUAUCAGCUUGUUGGUGGGGUGAUGGCCUACCAAGGCGACGACGGGUAGCCGGCCUGAGAGGGUAACCGGCCAGACUGGGACUGAGAUACGGCCCAGACUCCUACGGGAGGCAGCAGUGGGGAAUAUUGCACAAUGGGCGCAAGCCUGAUGCAGCGACGCCGCGUGAGGGAUGAGGGCCUUCGGGUUGUAAACCUCUUUCAGCACCGACGAAGCGAAAGUGACGGUAGGUGCAGAAGAAGGACCGGCCAACUACGUGCCAGCCGCCGCAGUAA
RNAcentral lists this ribosomal RNA (478 nucleotides) under uncultured bacterium. Its description in RNAcentral is "partial 16S ribosomal RNA". It matches the Rfam family "Bacterial small subunit ribosomal RNA", at positions 28 to 523 of the family's 1533-position model. The record is from RNAcentral.